CCUACGGGUGGCAGCAGUGGGGGAUAUUGCACAAUGGGGGAAACCCUGAUGCAGCGACGCCGCGUGGGUGAAGAAGCGCCUCGGCGCGUAAAGCCCUGUCAGCAGGGAAGAAAAUGACGGUACCUGAAGAAGAAGCCCCGGCUAAAUACGUGCCAGCAGCCGCCGUAAUACGUAGGGGGCAAGCGUGAUCCGGAUGUACUGGGUGUAAAGGGGGCGCAGCCGGCGAUGCAAGCCAGGAGUGAAAGCCCGGGGCCCAACCCCGGGACUGCUCUUGGAACUGCGUGGCUAGAGUGCAGGAGGGGCAGGCGGAAUUCCUGGUGUAGCGGUGAAAUGCGUAGAUAUCAGGAGGAACACCGGUGGCGAAGGCGGCCUGCUGGACUGCAACUGACGUUGAGGCCCGAAAGCGUGGGGAGCAAACAGGAUUAGAUACCCUUGUAGUC
This 440-nucleotide ribosomal RNA is filed under the name uncultured bacterium. RNAcentral's name for it is "partial 16S ribosomal RNA". It matches the Rfam family "Bacterial small subunit ribosomal RNA", at positions 338 to 795 of the family's 1533-position model. The record is from RNAcentral.